GUAGGUGAACCUGCGGAAGCAUCAUUACAGAGUUCAUGCCCUCACGGGUAGAUCUCCCACCCUUGAAUAUUAUACCUUCGUUGCUUUGGCAGGCCGUGGAAACACCAGAGGCUCCGGCUGAUGCGUGCCUGCCAGAGGAAACAAACUCUGUUUUUAGUGAUGUCUGAGUACUAUAUAAUAGUUAAAACUUUCAACAACGGAUCUCUAGGCUCUU
RNAcentral lists this unclassified non-coding RNA (214 nucleotides) under rhizosphere metagenome. RNAcentral's name for it is "partial ribosomal RNA internal transcribed spacer region". The record is from RNAcentral.